Molecule: ribosomal RNA, 253 nt
Filed under: uncultured bacterium
Lineage: Bacteria
Also listed under: 1 other name
Description: partial 16S ribosomal RNA
Rfam family: Bacterial small subunit ribosomal RNA
Source: RNAcentral
UACGGAGGAUCCAAGCGUUAUCCGGAUUUAUUGGGUUUAAAGGGUGCGUAGGCGGCCUGUUAAGUCAGAGGUGAAAGACGGUAGCUCAACUAUCGCAGUGCCUUUGAUACUGAUGGGCUUGAAUGAACUAGAGGUAGGCGGAAUGAGACAAGUAGCGGUGAAAUGCAUAGAUAUGUCUCAGAACACCGAUUGCGAAGGCAGCUUACUAUGGUUUUAUUGACGCUGAGGCACGAAAGCGUGGGGAUCAAACAGG